Molecule: long non-coding RNA, 349 nt
Organism: Harpia harpyja (harpy eagle)
Lineage: Eukaryota; Metazoa; Chordata; Aves; Accipitriformes; Accipitridae
Exons: 3
Source: RefSeq, a predicted model, not a curated record
UGAAGAAUUGGUUUAUUGGAAAUCUCAACUGGCUACAAGUGUUGAAACGGCUCAGGUCAAGCGGUGAUAAAUAAUUUCAAGAAACCAGUGUGAGACUGAACAGGUUUAUUUGACACCAGUCUCUGCAUUUUCUUCUGCCAGAGGAUGGAGGGACCGGGCUUCCAGUACCGUGGUGUGUGGCUGUACAAAGGUGAAUUCCACCAGUUAAAUGGUCCCAUGGGAAGGCACUACUCUUCUGUUACCAGCCUUCCAGAGGUGAAGUUGUCCUUAGAGUUGAGCAAGAAAGUUGCUUUAGUGCUGUCAGAUAUCUAAUUAAUGCCUCAGUAAAUAAAGGCAUUCUGUAAUUAAA